RNAcentral lists this long non-coding RNA (262 nucleotides) under Setaria viridis. RNAcentral describes it as "long non-coding RNA (SVIR_LNC002976)". Lineage: Eukaryota; Viridiplantae; Streptophyta; Magnoliopsida; Poales; Poaceae. The record is from RNAcentral.
CCAACCUAGUCAAUGUUACUUCAUCUGUGGAAUUUCCUUCAAAUAGCUGCUCAUGGUCCUUCAACCAUGAUGUGAAACGAUGUUUUUGCUCUUUGAUGAUCCAAUCCUUUGAGCGACCAUUACUUUGUCCACGGACCUCAUUUAGGUGUUGCUCAAUGAAGGGCUCCACUAUUGCGAGCUGUUGUAGAACGCUUGAAUGCGCUUUCUCCAAUUGCUGGUUGUCCUUAUCUAUGAAUCUUUUCAUUCCAAUGGUACCUUUCCC